Molecule: transfer RNA, 74 nt
Filed under: Osedax symbiont Rs2
Lineage: Bacteria; Pseudomonadati; Pseudomonadota; Gammaproteobacteria; Oceanospirillales; Oceanospirillaceae
Rfam family: tRNA
About the family: Transfer RNA (tRNA) molecules are approximately 80 nucleotides in length. Their secondary structure includes four short double-helical elements and three loops (D, anti-codon, and T loops).
Source: Rfam by way of RNAcentral
GGGGAUGUAGCUCAGCUGGAUAGAGCAGCCCCCUCCUAAGGGGCAGGCCGGAGGUUCGAAUCCUCUCAUCCUCA